This 641-nucleotide ribosomal RNA is filed under the name uncultured bacterium. Its description in RNAcentral is "bacterial SSU rRNA". It matches the Rfam family "Bacterial small subunit ribosomal RNA", at positions 44 to 715 of the family's 1533-position model. The record is from RNAcentral.
AUGCUUAACACAUGCAAGUCGAACGUGCCUUCGGGCAAGUGGCAGACGGCUGAGUAACGCGUGAGUAACACACCCUUCGGUGGGGUAUAGCCUCGGGAAACUGAGGGUAAUCCCGCAUACGAUCCCUACGCCCUGGUGUAGGGAUGAAAGCCUUCGGGCGCCGGAGGAGUGGCUCGCGUCCUAUCAGGUAGUUGGUGAGGUAACGGCUCACCAAGCCGAUGACGGGUAGCUGGCCUUAGAGGACGAUCAGCCAGAGGGGGACUGAGACACGGCCCCCACUCCUACGGGAGGCAGCAGCAGGGAAUUUUGGGCAAUGGACGAAGGUCUGACCCAGCGACGUCGCGUGGGGGAUGAAGGCUCUAGGGCUGUAAACCCCUUUUCCGAGGGAAGAGGAAGGACGGUACCUCGGGAAUAAGCUCCGGCCAACUACGUGCCAGCAGCCGCGGUAAUACGUAGGGAGCGAGCGUUACCCGGAAUUACUGGGCGUAAAGAGCACGUAGGCGGUUGGAUAAGUCUUCUGUGAAAGCUCCUGGCUCAACUGGGAGAGGUCAGGGGAUACUAUUCGACUUGAGGGCUGUUGAGGUAAGCGGAAUUCCCGGUGUAGCGGUGAAAUGCGUAGAUAUCGGAAGGAACACCAGUGG